UGGUAACGACGUCGUUUCAAAUCUCCUUCAAAUUCUAAAAAGACCAAAAUUGGCCCUCUAGUUUCCAAUUCCGGCACCGGAAACAACUCCAAUCACAACGCCGACUAGAAACAGAAGCCCCCGGCGAGCUGCUCCCUCCUAAAAAAAACACCUCUGUGCUGUAUAAACUACCUUGUAAUGAACCGUGCGCGUUCAUACAUUUCCUUGGGGCUGCUUAAGAAGUCCAGCUAUGUCAGUUCCCAUAUUCCAUGGAAUCGAUGCUUCUAUAUGCCUUCAAAAUACAGUUUAAAGCCUUCAUGUGUGACUGCACUUGGACUGUCUAGUGUUCAUUGCUAUUCUACAAGAUCAAAGACUGCCAAAUCAAAGAUUUCAACCGCUGUUUCUGUUUCGGAUUCGGAUAAAGAGAAAGACGCCUUUUUCGUUGUUCGGAAGGGUGACAUUAUUGGAAUUUAUAAGGAUUUGAUUGAUUGUCAAGCUCAAGUUGGAUCUUCGGUAUAUGAUCUUCCAGUUAGCGUUUAUAAGGGUAAGGGAUACUCGUUGCUUAAAGACACGACGGAGGAGUAUCUUUCUAGUGUUGGGCUGAAGAAACCAC
Molecule: long non-coding RNA, 592 nt
Organism: Arabidopsis lyrata subsp. lyrata
Lineage: Eukaryota; Viridiplantae; Streptophyta; Magnoliopsida; Brassicales; Brassicaceae
Exons: 3
Source: RefSeq, a predicted model, not a curated record